CCUACGGGAGGCAGCAGUGGGGAAUUUUGGACAAUGGGCGCAAGCCUGAUCCAGCAAUGCCGCGUGAGUGAAGAAGGCCUUCGGGUUGUAAAGCUCUUUUGUCAGGGAAGAAACGGGAUUGGAUAAUACCUAGUCCUAAUGACGGUACCUGAAGAAUAAGCACCGGCUAACUACGUGCCAGCAGCCGCGGUAAUACGUAGGGUGCAAGCGUUAAUCGGAAUUACUGGGCGUAAAGCGUGCGCAGGCGGUUUUGUAAGUCUGUCGUGAAAGCCCCGGGCUCAACCUGGGAAUUGCGAUGGAGACUGCAAGGCUUGAAUCUGGCAGAGGGGGGUAGAAUUCCACGUGUAGCAGUGAAAUGCGUAGAGAUGUGGAGGAACACCGAUGGCGAAGGCAGCCCCCUGGGUCAAGAUUGACGCUCAUGCACGAAAGCGUGGGGAGCAAACAGGAUUAGAUACCCUGGUAGUCCACGCCCUAAACGAUGUCUACUAGUUGUCGGGUUUUAAUUAACUUGGUAACGCAGCUAACGCGUGAAGUAGACCGCCUGGGGAAGUCGGUCGCAAGNUUAAAACUCAAAUGAAAUUGACGGCUUGGAGACGUGACGACGGACGACGACGAGGGAGGAGG
RNAcentral lists this ribosomal RNA (624 nucleotides) under uncultured bacterium. RNAcentral's name for it is "bacterial SSU rRNA". It matches the Rfam family "Bacterial small subunit ribosomal RNA", at positions 338 to 957 of the family's 1533-position model. The record is from RNAcentral.